Molecule: ribosomal RNA, 253 nt
Filed under: uncultured bacterium
Lineage: Bacteria
Description: partial 16S ribosomal RNA
Rfam family: Bacterial small subunit ribosomal RNA
Source: RNAcentral
GACGAACCGUGCGAACGUUAUUCGGAAUCACUGGGCUUAAAGCGCGCGUAGGCGGCUUUGCAAGUCGGGUGUGAAAUCCCCAGGCUUAACCUGGGAACUGCAUUCGAGACUGCAUUGCUAGAGUAUGGGAGAGGGAAGUGGAAUUUCCGGUGUAGCGGUGAAAUGCGUAGAUAUCGGAAGGAACAUCAGUGGCGAAAGCGACUUCCUGGACCAAUACUGACGCUCAUGUGCGAAAGCGUGGGGAGCAAACAGG